Long non-coding RNA from Chinchilla lanigera (long-tailed chinchilla), 750 nucleotides. RefSeq lists it as uncharacterized. NCBI's taxonomy places the organism in Eukaryota, Metazoa, Chordata, Mammalia, Rodentia, Chinchillidae. The transcript has 5 exons. The record is from RefSeq and is a predicted model, not a curated record.
CUUCAUUUCCUUCUGACACCCAAGUAGAACAGGAUGGGGGCGGGGUGAGUGUGGCUGAGCAGACACUGCCUAAAACGUGAGAACAGGCCUGAAGGCUCAGAGUCAUGUGAAACACAAUUCUUCUCUAACCUCCAAAUCCUUUAAGCUCCGUGGCUGAUAGAACUAAACACGUCUGUAUUGAGUAUCUCCAGUGUUACUGCUUAAUCCAGCCUGGAAUUCCUUUGGAAGCCAUCACACUGAUGAGUUCUGAAUCACUCAGCAGUAGGAUUAUUAAUCACCAUUUCCACAAUGAAGAAGAAUGAACAAAAACAUACAAAUGAGUAUUAUUUUAAGAGCAUCUGAAACAUCAGGAGCUUAAAGACCCUCAAAAGAGCUGAUCUACUCUUCCUGACCAUUGGAAGCCAGUCUACGUCUUACUCAAGUUCUGAGCAAUGCACUCAGGCUGAGAGAGGCUCCAUUCACUUGCUGCACAUAGGGGUCUGUCUGCAUGGCCCAAGAGAAGAUCACAUAACCAAAGCGAGAGCUACAUUCCUUCUGCGGAAAACUGAACUGUUGAGUACAGUAAGGAAAAAAAAGACAGAAGGGGGGGAAAAUGGAUGGAGGUCAUUUAUGUGAGUGGCUGACAAUGCUCAGACAAAACAGUGAAUUACCUCUUGCUGUGCUGUUAGAUUCUAAAUCUGAUAUGCCCACGUUCUAAUAGAACCAGUGCCCUCUCCAAUAUCCAUAAAAUAAAUUUCCUUUUUGCUUAAA